This 523-nucleotide ribosomal RNA is filed under the name uncultured bacterium. Its description in RNAcentral is "bacterial SSU rRNA". It matches the Rfam family "Bacterial small subunit ribosomal RNA", at positions 370 to 906 of the family's 1533-position model. The record is from RNAcentral.
AAUGGGCGCAAGCCUGACCCAGCAACGCCGCGUGAGGGAAGAAGGCUUUCGGGUUGUAAACCUCUGUCCUUGGUGACGAAAAAAAUGACGGUAGCCAAGGAGGAAGCCCCGGCUAACUACGUGCCAGCAGCCGCGGUAAUACGUAGGGGGCGAGCGUUGUCCGGAAUUACUGGGCGUAAAGGGUGCGUAGGUGGCCUUUUAAGUUGGAUGUGAAAUACCCGGGCUUAACCUGGGGGGUGCAUCUAAUACUGGGAGGCUAGAGUGCAGGAGAGGAAAGCGGAAUUCCUAGUGUAGCGGUGAAAUGCGUAGAUAUUAGGAGGAACACCAGUGGCGAAGGCGGCUUUCUGGACUGUAACUGACACUGAGGCACGAAAGCGUGGGGAGCAAACAGGAUUAGAUACCCUGGUAGUCCACGCGGUAAACGAUGAAUACUAGGUGUAGGGGGUAUCAACUCCCCCUGUGCCGGAGCUAACGCAAUAAGUAUUCCGCCUGGGGAGUACGGCCGCAAGGUUGAAACUCAAAG